UUUAAGGUCUGACCUGCCCAAUGAGUUAUUGAAUGGCCGCGGUAUUUUGACCGUGCGAAGGUAGCAUAAUAAUUAGCUCUUUAAUUGAGAGCUGGAAUGAAUGGUUGGACGAGAAAAAAACUGUCUCUGCUUAAAUUAGCUUAGAAUUUUAUCUUUAAGUAAAAAAGCUUAAAUUUUUUUAAAAGACGAGAAGACCCUAUAGAGUUUUAUAUUUUUAGUUUGCUUUAAUUUUUGGUAUCUUUGCUUGGAGCAGGUAAUGAGAUAUUUCGUUGGGGUGACGGGAAAACUAAAUAAACUUUUCCUAUUUUUUAACAUUGAUUUAUGGCUGCUUGAUCCGUUCUUUACGAUUACAAGAUUAAAUUACCUUAGGGAUAACAGCGUUAUUCUUCUUGAGAGUUCUUAUCGAAAGGAGAGUUUGCGACCUCGAUGUUGGAUUAAAAU
This 441-nucleotide ribosomal RNA is filed under the name Prototrupes sp. BMNH 793036. Its description in RNAcentral is "partial 16S ribosomal RNA". It matches the Rfam family "Bacterial large subunit ribosomal RNA", at positions 1844 to 2543 of the family's 2925-position model. Lineage: Eukaryota; Metazoa; Arthropoda; Insecta; Coleoptera; Bolboceratidae. The record is from RNAcentral.